CGGGACCUUAAAACCACAAAACACAGUUUGAAACAGACUCUGUGUCAUGUGGAGUCCACACACUUGCUUUUGCCACUGAAUUCAUUAAGGCUGGUGGCUGCAUUGACUACUUCCAGUGCCUUCAAUACACCCAGAGAGUAUGGCCCUGCCUCACUUUAGUUUCGUUCUUUAGACUGAACAAAAACAUGGAAUUUGUGCCAAACCUUUGUCAGGGAGAAAAAAAAA
Long non-coding RNA from Labeo rohita (rohu), 225 nucleotides. RefSeq lists it as uncharacterized. NCBI's taxonomy places the organism in Eukaryota, Metazoa, Chordata, Actinopteri, Cypriniformes, Cyprinidae. The record is from RefSeq and is a predicted model, not a curated record. The transcript is spliced from 3 exons.